This 202-nucleotide long non-coding RNA is filed under the name Elaeis guineensis (African oil palm). RNAcentral describes it as "long non-coding RNA (EGUI_LNC042745)". Lineage: Eukaryota; Viridiplantae; Streptophyta; Magnoliopsida; Arecales; Arecaceae. The record is from RNAcentral.
CCAUCACAUCGAUGCCCUGAAUCUGAUCUAACCUUUAGAUCAUAUUGGUUGACUUCAGAAUGAAGAGAAGCGUGUUGGGUGAUGUGCAUGUAUUUUUAAAAAUUUUAUAGUGAAAUAUGCAUAGAUUAAAUAAUUUAAUCUAUAAUGUAUGCAUAGAUCAAAUCUAAAUCACCAUACUGUUAGAUGUGUGCCCUAGAUGCCA